RNAcentral lists this ribosomal RNA (654 nucleotides) under uncultured archaeon. RNAcentral's name for it is "bacterial SSU rRNA". It matches the Rfam family "Archaeal small subunit ribosomal RNA", at positions 508 to 1160 of the family's 1478-position model. The record is from RNAcentral.
GCCUAAAGCGUCCGUAGCCGGCUUUGUAAGUUUUCGGUUAAAUCUAUAUGCUCAACAUAUAGGCUGCCGGGAAUACUGCAAAGCUAGGGAGUGGGAGAGGUAGACGGUACUCCGUAGGAAGGGGUAAAAUCCUUUGAUCUAUGGAUGACCACCUGUGGCGAAGGCGGUCUACCAGAACACGUCUGACGGUGAGGGAUGAAAGCUGGGGGAGCAAACCGGAUUAGAUACCCGGGUAGUCCCAGCUGUAAACGAUGCAAACUCAGUGAUGCAUUGGCUUGUGGCCAGUGCAGUGCCGCAGGGAAGCCGUUAAGUUUGCCGCCUGGGAAGUACGUACGCAAGUAUGAAACUUAAAGGAAUUGGCGGGGGAGCACCACAAGGGGUGAAGCCUGCGGUUUAAUUGGAGUCAACGCCGGAAAUCUUACCCGGAGAGACAGCAGGAUGAAGGUCAAGCUGAAGACUUUACCAGACAAGCUGAGAAGUGGUGCAUGGCCGUCGCCAGCUCGUGCCGUGAGGUGUCCUGUUAAGUCAGGUAACGAGCGAGAUCCUUGCCUCUAGUUGCUACCAUUACUCUCAGGAGUAGUGGAGCGAAUUAGCGGGACUGCCGUAGUUAAUACGGAGGAAGGAGAGGGCCACGGCAGGUCAGUAUGCCCCGAA